GAUGAAGAACGUAGUGAAAUGCGAUAAGUAAUGUGAAUUGCAGAAUUCAGUGAAUCAUCGAAUCUUUGAACGCACAUUGCGCCCGCCAGCAUUCUGGCGGGCAUGCCUGUUCGAGCGUCAUUUCAACCCUCGACUUCCCUUUGGGGAAAUCGGCGUUGGGGACUGGCAGCAUACCGCCGGCCCCGAAAUGGAGUGGCGGCCCGUCCGCGGCGACCUCUGCGUAGUAAUCCAACCUCGCACCGGAACCCCGACGUGGCCACGCCGUAAAACACCCCACUUUCUGAACGUUGACCUCGGAUCAGGUAGGAAUACCCGCUGAACUUAAGCAUAUCAAUAAGCGGAGGA
Molecule: unclassified non-coding RNA, 345 nt
Filed under: soil metagenome
Description: partial contains 5.8S ribosomal RNA, internal transcribed spacer 2, and large subunit ribosomal RNA
Rfam family: 5.8S ribosomal RNA (bases 1-120)
Source: RNAcentral